This 245-nucleotide ribosomal RNA is filed under the name uncultured Pantoea sp. RNAcentral describes it as "partial 16S ribosomal RNA". It matches the Rfam family "Bacterial small subunit ribosomal RNA", at positions 120 to 368 of the family's 1533-position model. The record is from RNAcentral. Lineage: Bacteria; Pseudomonadati; Pseudomonadota; Gammaproteobacteria; Enterobacterales; Erwiniaceae.
GGGAUCUGCCCGAUAGAGGGGGAUAACCACUGGAAACGGUGGCUAAUACCGCAUAACGUCGGGAGACCAAAGAGGGGGACCUUCGGGCCUCUCACUAUCGGAUGAACCCAGAUGGGAUUAGCUAGUAGGCGGGGUAAUGGCCCACCUAGGCGACGAUCCCUAGCUGGUCUGAGAGGAUGACCAGCCACACUGGAACUGAGACACGGUCCAGACUCCUACGGGAGGCAGCAGUGGGGAAUAUUGCA